RNAcentral lists this long non-coding RNA (210 nucleotides) under Ananas comosus (pineapple). RNAcentral describes it as "long non-coding RNA (ACOM_LNC041057)". The record is from RNAcentral. Lineage: Eukaryota; Viridiplantae; Streptophyta; Magnoliopsida; Poales; Bromeliaceae.
UGAUGUUCUUCAUGACGGCGUCGUGGAUUCGGCGUGAUUGACGACGGUUCGUGGAUUCGGAUCGUAAGCUUCGUGGAUUCGGAGUGGAGGCGUUUCGUGGAUUCGGAACGUGGUGUUCGUGGAUUCGAACGUGAGGGCGUGGACAACCCGGAGGAUUGUGCGAGAUUCAUAGGAGGUUAAGAGAGGUCGAGUCCGUGGAGUUGGUAAUCA